RNAcentral lists this ribosomal RNA (1339 nucleotides) under metagenome. RNAcentral describes it as "SSU rRNA". It matches the Rfam family "Eukaryotic small subunit ribosomal RNA", at positions 386 to 1801 of the family's 1831-position model. The record is from RNAcentral.
GAGAGGGAGCCUGAGAAACGGCUACCACAUCUACGGAAGGCAGCAGGCGCGAAAAUUGCCCAAUCCUGAUUCAGGGAGGCAGUGACAAGAAAUAACAACUUUCAACUUUGUUGAAAAGUGUAAUGAGGAUAAUUUACAAACCUUACCGAAAGCAAUUGGAGGGCAAGUCUGGUGCCAGCAGCCGCGGUAAUUCCAGCUCCAAAAGCGUAUAUUAAAGUUGUUGCAGUUAAAAAGCUCGUAGUUGAAGUUCUGGCUGUAUUGGGCCUUAGCACUUGAUGCGGAGGAACCAGCAGUCAUCCGCUUGCAAAUACAUGUCCUUCCUUAACCGGUAGGCUGUAUAAGUAAGCACUUUACCUUGAGAAAAACAGAGUGUUCCAGGCAGGUUUGUCCGGAAUGCGUUAGCAUGGAAUAAUAGAAUAUGACUGAAGUCGAUUUAUUGGUUUAAGGCUUUAGUAAUGAUUAAUAGGAACAAUCGGGGGCAUUGGUACUUGUCAGUCAGAGGUGAAAUUCUAGGAUUUGACAAAGACUAACUGAUGCGAAAGCGUUUGCCAAGAAUGUUUUCAUUAAUCAAGAACGAAAGUUAGGGGAUCAAAGACGAUCAGAUACCGUCCUAGUCUUAACUAUAAACUAUACCGACUCGGAUUCAGAUGAAUUUUAAAGUUCAUUUGGGACCGUAGGAGAAAUCAAAGUCUUUGGGUUCUGGGGGAGUAUGGUCGCAAGGCUGAAACUUAAAGGAAUUGACGGUUUUGCACCACCAUGGAGUGGAGCCUGCGGCUUAAUUUGACCCAACACUGGGAAACUCAUCAGGGCAAGAAGAUUUUAGGAUUGACAGAUUGAGAGUUCUUUCUUGAUUGGUCUAGUGGUGGUGCAUGGCCGUUCUUAGUUGGUGGAGUGAUUUGUCUGGUUAAUUCCGUUAACGAACGAGACCUUAACCUGCUAACUAGUACUUUGAUUUUCAAUCGGAGUUACUUCUUAGAGGGACUAUGUGAGUAAUCACAUGGAAGUUUGAGGCAAUAACAGGUCUGUGAUGCCCUUAGAUGUCCUGAGCUGCACGCGCGCUACAAUGACACAUUCAGCGAGUAUUUCCUGACCCGAAAGGGCUCGGGUAAUCUUUUCAGUGUGUGUCGUGAUAGGGAUAGAUCCUUGUAAUUAUGGAUCUUGAACGAGGAAUUCCUAGUAAGCGCACGUCAUCAGCGUGUGCUGAUUACGUCCCUGCAAAAUGUACACACCGCCCGUCGCUAUUACCGAUUGGGUGUAUAGGUGAACCUUCUCGAUAGCCGCAAGGCUAGAAAUUAAGUAAACCUUUGCACCUAGAGGAAAUAAAAGUCGUAACAAGGUU